This 1123-nucleotide long non-coding RNA is filed under the name Camarhynchus parvulus. Its description in RNAcentral is "lncRNA (ENSCPVG00000006227.2)". Lineage: Eukaryota; Metazoa; Chordata; Aves; Passeriformes; Thraupidae. The record is from RNAcentral.
GCUCGGCGUCACCGCGGCCACCGGGCAGGCCCAGCACGGUCCCCGCACGGUGCUCGUUGCCUCUCCCACCCCUGCCCAGGUGCGAUGGAGAUGCAGGAGGUGUUCCUGCAGCUCUGGGGGGAGCUGGCCAGGCUGCAGGAGCUGUGCUCGGAGCAGGGGCGGCUCCUCCGGAAGCUGAGGGCCAGGAAGGGACCGGUCCUGGACAUCCCGGUGUCGCUGCCUGUCCAGUGCACGGAGGAUGUGGGGACAGGGGACAGCCAGAGGUCACCUGAGAGCCACCAAAACCACCCAGGAGCUCUGACAUCCUCCACACCCCACCUGGAGGGCUCUGCCUGUCCCAUGGGACAGCCUCGGCCCACCAAGAGGCUCCCCCCGAGCCCUGGGCACAGCACAGGAGCCACAGGAGCUGCAGGUCCAGGCAGCACCGAGGGGGACGAGGGGGAAGCGCUCGCCCGCAGGAGAACCUGGAUCCUCCCGGUGCCCUGGGAAGGAGGGAGAGCUCCCUGCAGCCCUCGGCAGCUGGAGACACCAAAUCCAGGGCCUGGGGGCUCCUUCCCAAAUCUUCUGGAUCUCUACGAAGCCCCUGAAGCGCUUGAGAGGGAAGAGGCUCCCAGGGAUGUGGCUCUGGUGGAGAUCCGAGGGCCUGUGAAGACCUGCUGGACUCCGGGCUGGGCGCUGGAGGAGGGGACGCUGAGCCCCAGCACUGAGGCUGCCCCGGGCUGUGAGCUGUGCCAGGAGAUGCUGCCCUCGGAGGCAGCGGGACACGCGGAAUAUCUGAGCCCCCUUCUGCUCCACCUGGAGUAGGACUCGUCCUCCCAGCGGGAAAUCCACGGAUCUGUACCCUGAGCCACGGGACAGAAUCGGGAUAUUUGCAUGGGACAGCCUCUGGACAUCUCCACGGGACAGACUCUGGACAUUUCCCAUUUCCAUGGGAAGAUUCUGAACAUUUCCCAUUUCCAUGGGAAGAUUCUGGACAUUUCCACGGGACAGACUCUGGACAUUUCCCAUCUCCUCAGGACGGACUCUGGACAUUUCCCAUCUCCAUGGGACAGAUGCUGGACAUUUCCCAUCUCCAUGGGAUGGACUCUGGACAUUUCCGAUUUCCACAGGACAGACUCUGGAC